RNAcentral lists this ribosomal RNA (527 nucleotides) under uncultured bacterium. Its description in RNAcentral is "bacterial SSU rRNA". It matches the Rfam family "Bacterial small subunit ribosomal RNA", at positions 982 to 1509 of the family's 1533-position model. The record is from RNAcentral.
GUACAUCCAGAGAACUUUCCAGAGAUGGAUUGGUGCCUUCGGGAACUCUGAGACAGGUGCUGCAUGGCUGUCGUCAGCUCGUGUUGUGAAAUGUUGGGUUAAGUCCCGCAACGAGCGCAACCCUUAUCCUUUGUUGCCAGCGGUUAGGCCGGGAACUCAAAGGAGACUGCCAGUGAUAAACUGGAGGAAGGUGGGGAUGACGUCAAGUCAUCAUGGCCCUUACGAGUAGGGCUACACACGUGCUACAAUGGCGCAUACAAAGAGAAGCGACCUCGCGGGAGCAAGCGGACCUCAUAAAGUGCGUCGUAGUCCGGAUUGGAGUCUGCAACUCGACUCCAUGAAGUCGGAAUCGCUAGUAAUCGUAGAUCAGAAUGCUACGGUGAAUACGUUCCCGGGCCUUGUACACACCGCCCGUCACACCAUGGGAGUGGGUUGCAAAAGAAGUAGGUAGCUUAACCUUCGGGAGGGCGCUUACCACUUUGUGAUUCAUGACUGGGGUGAAGUCGUAACAAGGUAAGCGUAGUGCU